ACUCUUUUAGUAUAAUUCAAUACAAUUGCCUUCCAAGCAAGAAAUCUAAUAAUAGAGGGAGUA
RNAcentral lists this transfer RNA (63 nucleotides) under Phascolosoma similis. Its description in RNAcentral is "tRNA-Gly". Lineage: Eukaryota; Metazoa; Annelida; Sipuncula; Phascolosomatiformes; Phascolosomatidae. The record is from RNAcentral.